AGUCACGCGUAAACGAUGAGUGCUAAGUGUUAGGGGGUUCCGCCCUUUAGUGCUGCAGCUAGCGCAUUAAGCACUCCGCGUGGGGAGUACGACCGCAAGGUUGAAACUCAAAGGAAUUGACGGGGGCCCGCACAAGCGGUGGAGCAUGUGGUUUAAUUCGAAGCAACGCGAAGAACCUUACCAGGUCUUGACAUCCUUUGACAACUCUAGAGAUAGAGCUUUCCCUUCGGGGACAAAGUGACAGGUGGUGCAUGGUUGUCGUCAGCUCGUGUCGUGAGAUGUUGGGUUAAGUCCCGCAACGAGCGCAACCCUUAUUGUUAGUUGCCAUCAUUCAGUUGGGCACUCUAGCGAAACUGCCGGUGACAAACCGGAGGAAGGUGGGGAUGACGUCAAAUCAUCAUGCCCCUUAUGACCUGGGCUACACACGUGCUACAAUGGACAGUACAAUGAGCAGCGACACGGCGACGUGAAGCGAAUCUCAUAAAGCUGUUCUCAGUUCGGAUUGUAGGCUGCAACUCGCCUACAUGAAGCCGGAAUCGCUAGUAAUCGCGGAUCAGCACGCCGCGGUGAAUACGUUCCCGGGCCUUGUACACACCGCCCGUCACACCACGAAAGUUUGUAACACCCAAAGUCGGUGAGGUAACCUUCGGGAGCCAGCCGCCUAAGGUGGGAUAGAUGAUUGGGGUGAAGUCGUAACAAGGUAACCA
Molecule: ribosomal RNA, 707 nt
Filed under: uncultured Vagococcus sp.
Lineage: Bacteria; Bacillati; Bacillota; Bacilli; Lactobacillales; Enterococcaceae
Description: bacterial SSU rRNA
Rfam family: Bacterial small subunit ribosomal RNA
Source: RNAcentral